Molecule: long non-coding RNA, 933 nt
Filed under: Homo sapiens (human)
Lineage: Eukaryota; Metazoa; Chordata; Mammalia; Primates; Hominidae
Description: cancer/testis associated transcript 70, transcript variant 5 (CT70)
Source: RNAcentral
AGACUCGGGGCCCCGCGCGCUUGCGCGCCGCCCGCUGCCCGCCGCCCGCCGCGGCUGGGAGUCCGGAGGUUUCAUCUUGUGAUGGUUUCGGUUCGGCUCUCAAAUGGAGGAUGGCUACGUUGAAGACAGCUGGGGCUGCCGCACGCCUCGGGGUUACUGUCGGGCACCCGGCGGGCGGGGCCGGCGCUGGGGCGGGGGAGGGCUUCCUCGCCCUCAGAAACCACAUUCGCAGAAACGUUUUUAACUGGCAAGGUUUCGAGUUCCCAACCACAGCACCCUCAGUGAUGGUUUUCAGAAGACCUUGUUAGCUCCUCUCCUCCAGAGACCCAUCCUUCGCUGACAUCCCACCGAUUUGGGAGCAGGAAAAAACAGACUCCUGCAAAAUACCUCUUCUUCCAGUGCCCUGUACCCCUCUCUACUUACUUCGAGUCCCUGCAGUCCAGCAACAACCCCAAACGAGUGAAGGGAGGAGACAUAGGUUUGUCCAGGCUCUGCCACCGACGGGUGAUUUGGGAUGAGUCCUUCUCCAGUAUCAUUAUCUUCAACUGUAAAACAUGAGGGUUAGUCCGAAUGAUCUCCAAACGCUUCAGCAUUAAAGAUACAGUGAGAAGGUACCAUCUAUGAAUCAGAAAGUGGGCCCUCAUCUGAACAUGACCAUGCUGGCACCACGAUCUUGGACUUCUCAGCCCCCAGAACUUUCAACUUGGAGCACCCGCUAUAUGCCCCACGCUGUGACAGACUCUCAGGGGACACCAAGGGAAGUAAGGCCCAGCUCCCGCCUCAAAGAGCUGACCAUCAACUGGCGGGGAUUAGACAAUGAGAGAAGUCCAAGCUAAAGAAAGUACCACAGGAGAAACACCAGGCGCUUGAGGUUUCAAAGGAGGGAAAGGAUAUAUCAGGUUGGAGAUACUAACAAAAGACUUUAUUCAUUCA